CCGCCUACUCCGGCGGGCACGCGCCGCGCAUGCUCCCACCACUGCCUGUCCUGAGGCGUCGCGUGCCGCCCCCCCUUAGCUCCCGGAAGGCCGAGCGGCAUCGGGCGGCGCGGCCAUCGCCGCCCAUUUCUCAUCCCACUGCAGCCCCUCAGCCCGACCAAGCCCCCUGCGGAGGCCGGGAGGACGGCGAGGCCCGCGCGCCGAGCGGCGGCGUCGCCGUGGUGAUGACGUGUCC
This 235-nucleotide long non-coding RNA is filed under the name Marmota monax (woodchuck). Lineage: Eukaryota; Metazoa; Chordata; Mammalia; Rodentia; Sciuridae. The record is from RNAcentral.